AUGGCCACGUGCCGGCCAUCCGGCGGCUCCCAGCGACCUACAAGGACGCCCGCGCCCUCCCUCAACCCUAGACGCCUCCAGAUCCCCCUGGCCUCCUCAUCCACUCCAACCCUUCUCCCUCUCCCUCGAUUUGGAGGAGAGGCCGCCGAGGCCGCUGCCGUGCCUCACUCGUCCCCACGACCACAGAGCCCCGUUCGCCUCACCAACGUGUUCGUCGUCUCCGCCAUCGUCUUCCUCGUCGUCCAGUGGCCUCAGCUGGAGCUGGGACGCACCGAAGCACCAGAUCCCCUUUGUCCUCAUCUCCGAUCGCCGCCGCUCUUCUCCGGCUCUGGCGAGGCCCUCUGCUUCCAUUAA
This 354-nucleotide ribosomal RNA is filed under the name Triticum aestivum (bread wheat). Its description in RNAcentral is "partial small subunit ribosomal RNA". The record is from RNAcentral. Lineage: Eukaryota; Viridiplantae; Streptophyta; Magnoliopsida; Poales; Poaceae.